AGAUCUCAAGGCAGUGACUCUUCCUGCAUUGACAAUACUUAAAAUCCAACUCGAAUGUUCUGAAGAAGAAAUGUGAGACCAUCCCUUAAAAUUAUGGAAAAAGAGAAAAUAUAACCACAAGAAAUGGCACAAGGAAGAAAACAUCUUCCUUUCCUGAGCUCAGCUGAAUCCUGCUCACCUUUUGUGAGCAGCUACCUGAAAUUAUUUGCUCUGGAUAGACAAGCAGAAUUUGUUCCCUGGCAAUGUUCAGAGGACUUGGAAGAGAGGCAGCCAAUACCUGAAGGAAAUAAACCCAAACAAAAUAAA
Long non-coding RNA from Vidua chalybeata, 306 nucleotides. RefSeq lists it as uncharacterized. Lineage: Eukaryota; Metazoa; Chordata; Aves; Passeriformes; Viduidae. The transcript has 2 exons. The record is from RefSeq and is a predicted model, not a curated record.